RNAcentral lists this ribosomal RNA (359 nucleotides) under uncultured Gammaproteobacteria bacterium. Its description in RNAcentral is "bacterial SSU rRNA". It matches the Rfam family "Bacterial small subunit ribosomal RNA", at positions 29 to 385 of the family's 1533-position model. The record is from RNAcentral. Lineage: Bacteria; Pseudomonadati; Pseudomonadota; Gammaproteobacteria.
AUUGAACGCUGGCGGCAGGCCUAACACAUGCAAGUCGAGCGGCAGACAGCAGUAGCAAUACUGUGGGUGGCGAGCGGCGGACGGGUGAGGAAUACAUCGGAAUCUACCUUCUUGUGGGGGAUAACGUAGGGAAACUUACGCUAAUSCCGCAUAAGACCUGAGGGUGAAAGCGGGGGACCGCAAGGCCUCGCGCGAGAAGAUGAGCCGAUGUCCGAUUAGCUAGUUGGUGAGGUAAAGGCUCACCAAGGCGACGAUCGGUAGCUGGUCUGAGAGGAUGAUCAGCCACACUGGAACUGAGACACGGUCCAGACUCCUACGGGAGGCAGCAGUGGGGAAUAUUGGACAAUGGGCGCAAGCUG